UACGGAGGGAGCAAGCGUUACUCGGAAUUAUUGGGCGUAAAGGGCGCGUAGGCGAUUUGAAAAGUCUUGUGUGAAAGCCCCGAGCUUAACUCGGGAAGUGCACAAGAAACUGUUGAAUUUGAGUUCCGGAGAGGAAGGCAGAAUUCCCGGUGUAGCGGUGAAAUGCGUAGAUAUCGGGAGGAAUACCAGUGGCGAAGGCGGCCUUCUGGACGGAUACUGACGCUGAGGCGCGAAAGCCAGGGGAGCGAACGGG
RNAcentral lists this ribosomal RNA (253 nucleotides) under uncultured bacterium. Its description in RNAcentral is "partial 16S ribosomal RNA". It matches the Rfam family "Bacterial small subunit ribosomal RNA", at positions 524 to 776 of the family's 1533-position model. The record is from RNAcentral.